This 323-nucleotide long non-coding RNA is filed under the name Physcomitrium patens. Its description in RNAcentral is "long non-coding RNA (PPAT_LNC006539)". Lineage: Eukaryota; Viridiplantae; Streptophyta; Bryopsida; Funariales; Funariaceae. The record is from RNAcentral.
UCUUAAUCAAAUCCUAGAUUAAAUCCUAAUUAAAAUUCUAAUUAAAUUUUAAUCAAAUAAUAGAUGUAAUUUUAAUAAAUUCCUAAUUAAAUAUUAAUUAAAUCCUAAGUCAAAUUUUAAUAAAUUCCUAGACAAACCCUAGUCAAGUUCUAAAUCAAAUCUUAAUCCUAACCAAAUCAUAGACAAAUCCUAAACCAAAUCCUAAUCAAAUCCUAGAUCUUAAAUAAACUCUUAAUAAUUUUAUGGUAAAAUAGAACCUCAACAACUAAUAAUUGAAAAAUUGAUAUCAACUCAAAAUUUACAUACUUCUUAAUAUUUUAGUU